RNAcentral lists this ribosomal RNA (433 nucleotides) under Klebsiella pneumoniae. RNAcentral's name for it is "bacterial SSU rRNA". It matches the Rfam family "Bacterial small subunit ribosomal RNA", at positions 900 to 1334 of the family's 1533-position model. The record is from RNAcentral. Lineage: Bacteria; Pseudomonadati; Pseudomonadota; Gammaproteobacteria; Enterobacterales; Enterobacteriaceae.
CUCAAAUGAAUUGACGGGGGCCCGCACAAGCGGUGGAGCAUGUGGUUUAAUUCGAUGCAACGCGAAGAACCUUACCUGGUCUUGACAUCCACAGAACUUUCCAGAGAUGGAUUGGUGCCUUCGGGAACUGUGAGACAGGUGCUGCAUGGCUGUCGUCAGCUCGUGUUGUGAAAUGUUGGGUUAGUCCCGCAACGAGCGCAACCCUUAUCCUUUGUUGCCAGCGGUUCGGCCGGGAACUCAAAGGAGACUGCCAGUGAUAAACUGGAGGAAGGUGGGGAUGACGUCAAGUCAUCAUGGCCCUUACGACCAGGGCUACACACGUGCUACAAUGGCAUAUACAAAGAGAAGCGACCUCGCGAGAGCAAGCGGACCUCAUAAAGUAUGUCGUAGUCCGGAUUGGAGUCUGCAACUCGACUCCAUGAAGUCGGAAUCG